CAGCAGCCGCGGGAAUACGGAGGAUCCAAGCGUUAUCCGGAAUCAUUGGGUUUAAAGGGUCCGUAGGCGGUCUUGUAAGUCAGUGGUGAAAGCCCAUCGCUCAACGGUGGAACGGCCAUUGAUACUGCAGGACUUGAAUUAUUGGGAAGUAACUAGAAUAUGUAGUGUAGCGGUGAAAUGCUUAGAGAUUACAUGGAAUACCAAUUGCGAAGGCAGGUUACUACCAAUUGAUUGACGCUGAUGGACGAAAGCGUGGGUAGCGAACAGGAUUAGAUACCCCAGUAGUCCCUGUCUCUUAUAC
Molecule: ribosomal RNA, 301 nt
Filed under: uncultured bacterium
Lineage: Bacteria
Description: partial 16S ribosomal RNA
Rfam family: Bacterial small subunit ribosomal RNA
Source: RNAcentral